GCGCGAUCGCGGCAGUUUUUCGGGUGGUUUGUUGCCAUUUUUACCUGUCUGCUGCCGUGAUCGCGCUGAACGCGUUUU
RNAcentral lists this unclassified non-coding RNA (78 nucleotides) under Plasmid pWQ799. RNAcentral's name for it is "partition region RNA". The record is from RNAcentral.